ACGGAUAAGUAAAUUGAAAUCACAACUUAUGAAAUCACAACCGAAGGUAAUCAAUUCAUAUUACAAAUAUAUUCAUGGUUUUGAAUUAACCUCUAGCCAAAAUAAAAUUUAAUUACACAUUAUUAAAACAGAAAUAAAAUAGAAGUUUGGAAAGAUUUAACCGAGAGCGAGAGUGUUUCUGCUUCCUGUGCGCUGACCUCCUUCGUUCUGCCUUCUUCUUGACCUCCACGUCAGCUCCUGGCUCCCACGCUGCUCUGACUUCUCCUCUCGUCUCACCCAGUCCGAGUCCUCCUCGGUUUUCUGCUGCAGCAAGGCAGCUGUCUGCUCCUCUUUCCUCUCCGCAGCUUCACGCUGCCCAAAGGGCAGCCCUCUGCCUUCCACCAAUUCCCCAUUUCACGUUUGACCUCUCUGCUCCUUUAUGCCGUCUCAAUGCACUAACUCCUUCCUUUUUUUUUAUUUUUCUUCCAAUCCGUGUCCUCCCGUAGUUGUCUCACAGUUGCCAAAGGCAGCCCACUCCUCUUCUUCUAUUAUUUUCCCUUUUUUCCUUGCGCCUGACUCCCAUGUGGACUCCUGCUUUUUCUUUCUCUUCUUUUUUUUUUAUCUUUUCCUUUAUACUCUCUCCAGCUCACGCUUCAUCCUCUCCCGCUGCCAAGGGCAGCGCUUUUGACUCCCCUCUGACUUCUCCAGCUGCCAAGACAGCACUCUUUGACCCCCUCUGCAUUUCUGCGCUGUGCUCACCUGUCCAUCCUUCUUUUUCUUUUUUUUUUUUAUUCUUUCCCUCAGUCCCCUAGCUGUCUCUUGGAUCCCUUUUUUUUUUCAUUUGUUCCAGCUGCAAAGGUAGCUUCUUUAUGUUUCUUUUCUUUACUCACCAACUGCAAAACACUUCAAUUUUAGAUAUAUCAUAUAAUUUCUA
RNAcentral lists this long non-coding RNA (913 nucleotides) under Malus domestica (apple). RNAcentral describes it as "long non-coding RNA (MDOM_LNC003795)". Lineage: Eukaryota; Viridiplantae; Streptophyta; Magnoliopsida; Rosales; Rosaceae. The record is from RNAcentral.